GUCGGACAGCAAAUCUCCUUUUGUCUUUGUUGGAUCAAGGAUAAUUUUGCCAAUUGGUUCGUGUUCUUGAAUGUGUUGCAACGCUUCAGUAAACUGGUCAUCAAAAUAUUGGAAAUAGCAAGAAACUCAAUUUCAAACCUUGCCACAUCUUGCAGAUUUUGUCGAAUACAUUGCGAACGAAGGGACGAUUUUUUUGGAAAUACAACAGGCUACGCAGAUUGAAACCACAAAUGCCCUUGUUCUCCUCAUACAGCUUUAAUGGAGAAAACUUGUCUUGGCCCACCCACUGCGACAAACCAGUAAGGUAUUUAAUUUAAAAAAAUCCCGAUUUUCCACAAGGAAUUGUUUUUAACUCACCGAUUUGGCCAUUUCAAAUAUUUUUUGGAAGAAUGAUGUUUUGUCUCCAAACAGAACGUAUUUGCCCAUAGGUCUCAGCAGGUUAAAGUCGCGUUGGAAAUUAUCAUCAUAAUGCCAGUCUAGUACUAGAUCAACACCGUUAGGUGAAUUCUGGCGAAUCUCUGAGACGUAAUCAGCAUCGUGAACAAUUUUGUGGACCGUUUUGUCAGCCGAUUCGCUUUGUCUCUCUUCGUUGUCCAUAGCGAUUUUGAAAAUUCGGGUAUAGGGUACUGUGCGAGCCAUUUGAGUCACCAUGGUAUCCUAUAAAAAAUAAAGUUAACUUAAGAUUAAAAAAAAAAAGAAUAAAAAUUGCAGAGCUUAAAGUUACCAAUCCACCUGGAAUCGAGUGCAUGAGAACAGCUUCGCCAGGGCUAAGAUUGCCCAUAUGAAAAAGCAGUGUGUGAGCUACGAUUCCAUCAACUGUUAGAGCUACAGCUUCGUGAUAGCUCAUCUUCUCGGGGAUUUUGAAACAAAGAUCCACAUGACAAACAACGUAUUGACUCCAUGCGUUUCGUUCCGGAAGAGCCAUAACUCGAUCCCCCAACUAUAUGACACGCAGGUAAACAGCAAAGGUUUUUAGGCAAACCAAUUUGAUCAAACAAAAGUUACACAAAAUUCUGUGACGUCUUUUCCGAGUGCGACAACUUCGCCAGCUACUUCACUUCCCAUAAUUAAGGGAGGUUCUAAUGAUCGGGCCCAGUUGUCCAACCGACCGAUGCGUGUCAAGACAUCGUGGAAACUAACUCCGCUGCGGAAGGAAAAUAACCGUAAUUGAGGCUCAUUCGGUAGUGGCAUUGGAACUUUUACCGUGUGGAUGUUUUCGCUAAAUCCAAAAGCUAUUAGCUGGACGCACUUAACGUCAUAAGGCACAUCCUGAUUCAAUAACACAGAGAAGUCGCCACCACUAUACUUCACAUGUCGGCGGAUCCUAUUUUUGGCGAGCUUCUGCAUACGACGAUGUUUUUCUUCAUCCCGUCGACGAAGUUCUUGCAUUUCUCCUGACGAAGACGUAACAAACAAAAGUGUUCAGGAUCAAAUCAGAAUUCAUAUUGGCACGACUUACUCUCGACUUCUUCGGAUGCGGCGAAAGAGCUUUCUCGCUGGCUGUUUUCUGGCUCAUCCUCUGUAAAAGAAGAAUGCUCAUCCGAGUCAACAUUCACUGUAUGAGAAUCUGGAGUGCUGGUAGUAUCAAACGACGAAGUUUCAUGCUUUUCUGGUAACAUUUCCACCAAUCAACAGGUAUCUUAAAUAAAGGAAACAAUUUUUGGUCACAUUGUACGGGCCUUGAUGUAUAAAACAACAAAUGAACAGCAUCGAUAACUUA
This is a long non-coding RNA of Daphnia magna, 1720 nucleotides long. RefSeq lists it as uncharacterized. The transcript has 3 exons. NCBI's taxonomy places the organism in Eukaryota, Metazoa, Arthropoda, Branchiopoda, Diplostraca, Daphniidae. The record is from RefSeq and is a predicted model, not a curated record.